UACAGAGGUCUCGAGCGUUAGGCGGAAUCACUGGGCUUAAAGCGUGUGUAGGCGGAUCGGUAAGUACCUUGUGAAAUCCCACAGCUUAACUGUGGAACUGCUUGGUAUACUGCCAGUCUUGAGCCAGCUAGGGGCUACCGGAACAAAUGGUGGAGCGGUGAAAUGCGUAGAUAUCAUUUGGAACGCCAAUGGUGAAAACAGGUAGCUGGGGCUGUGCUGACGCUGAGACACGAAAGCCAGGGGAGCAGACGGG
RNAcentral lists this ribosomal RNA (253 nucleotides) under uncultured bacterium. RNAcentral describes it as "partial 16S ribosomal RNA". It matches the Rfam family "Bacterial small subunit ribosomal RNA", at positions 524 to 776 of the family's 1533-position model. The record is from RNAcentral.